Molecule: long non-coding RNA, 871 nt
Filed under: Vitis vinifera (wine grape)
Lineage: Eukaryota; Viridiplantae; Streptophyta; Magnoliopsida; Vitales; Vitaceae
Description: long non-coding RNA (VVIN_LNC000897)
Source: RNAcentral
GGCCUCAUGUGCACUACCACAUUACCAUCCACUAGGCCAACAAUGAAGGAGGUUUUGGAAAUUCUUCGACAGUGCAGUCCUCAUGAGGACCAUGGAAGAAAGAAAAAGGACCAUGAAGCUGCACCUGAACAUACAUCGAGAUGUAAAGUCCAGCAACAUCUUACUAGACGCUGAGUUCAACGCGAAAAUUGUAGAUUUUGGAUUACCCAAGAUGUUGGUCAAGCAAGGAGAGCCCGAUACCAUGUCAGGAGUUGCAGGCUCUUACAGAUAUAUUGCCCCCGGUAAGACCAUCCAAGGCCUUCCUGUCCACAUGUUGUCAUUUCCAUAAUUUAUCGAUAAUUUUUAUCAAAUGAUUCUCGUAUGCUUGGAUGACAGAGUAUGCUUAUACACCAAAGGUGAAGGAGAAGACCGAUGUAUAUAGCUUUGGAGUAGUUCUUCUUGAGCUGGUGACGGGGAGAGAACCUAACAGCGAGCACAUGUGCCUUGUAGAAUGGGCAUGGGAUCAGUUUAGAGAAGGGAAAACCAUUGAGGAAGUGGUGGAUGAGGAGAUCAAAGAACAAUGUGACAGAGCACAAGUGACCACUUUCUUCAAUCUAGGCCUCAUGUGCACUACCACAUUACCAUCCACUAGGCCAACAAUGAAGGAGGUUUUGGAAAUUCUUCGACUGUGCAGUCCUCAGGAGGACCAUGGAAGAAAGAAAAAAGACCAUGAAGCUGCACCCCUGCUUCUAAAUGGCACUUAACCUGCCACUUUCAAGCAUAACGACAAGGGAUUUCUAUUUUUCUGUCAUUACUAUAGUGGGAUUUCAAAGAAAUGGGCUUCAUUUUUUAAACUUCUUAUUACCAGCAGGAGUCCCACUACCGUUAGCAC